UACAGAGGGGGCAAGCGUUGUUCGGAAUUACUGGGCGUAAAGGGCGCGUAGGCGGCCUUCUAAGUCGAACGUGAAAUCCCCGGGCUCAACCCGGGAACUGCGUCCGAUACUGGAAGGCUUGAAUCCGGAAGAGGGAUGCGGAAUUCCAGGUGUAGCGGUGAAAUGCGUAGAUAUCUGGAGGAACACCGGUGGCGAAGGCGGCAUCCUGGACCGGUAUUGACGCUGAGGCGCGAAAGCCAGGGGAGCAAAGC
This 251-nucleotide ribosomal RNA is filed under the name uncultured bacterium. RNAcentral's name for it is "partial 16S ribosomal RNA". It matches the Rfam family "Bacterial small subunit ribosomal RNA", at positions 524 to 774 of the family's 1533-position model. The record is from RNAcentral.